GACGAACGCUGGCGGCGCGCCUAACACAUGCAAGUCGAACGGAGCGUACUGUGUGAAGCCCUUCGGGGUGGAACUUUGUAUUGCUUAGUGGCGAACGGGUGAGUAACACGUGAGCAACCUGCCCUAGAGUGGGGGACAACAUUUGGAAACGAAUGCUAAUACCGCAUAAGACCACGGUGUCACAUGACACAGCGGCCAAAGGAUUUAUUCGCUUUAGGAUGGGCUCGCGUCUGAUUAGCUAGAUGGUGGGGUAACGGCUCACCAUGGCGACGAUCAGUAGCCGGACUGAGAGGUCGAUCGGCCACAUUGGGACUGAGAUACGGCCCAGACUCCUACGGGAGGCAGCAGUGGGGAAUAUUGGGCAAUGGGCGAAAGCCUGACCCAGCGACGCCGCGUGGAGGAAGAAGGUUUUCGGAUUGUAAAGAUCUUUAAUCAGGGACGAAGGAAGUGACGGUACCUGAAGAAUAAGCUCCGGCUAACUACGUGCCAGCCGCCGCGGUAAAAC
Molecule: ribosomal RNA, 505 nt
Filed under: uncultured bacterium
Lineage: Bacteria
Description: bacterial SSU rRNA
Rfam family: Bacterial small subunit ribosomal RNA
Source: RNAcentral